GAUGAACGCUGACAGCAUGCUUAACACAUGCAAGUCCACUUGAACUUCGGUUUGGGUGGCGGACGGGUGAGUAACGCGUAAAGAACUUGCCUCACAGCUAGGGACAACAUUUGGAAACGAAUGCUAAUACCUGAUAUUAUGAUUAUAUGGCAUCGUAUAAUUAUGAAAGCUAUAUGCGCUGUGAGAGAGCUUUGCGUCCCAUUAGCUAGUUGGAGAGGUAACAGCUCACCAAGGCGAUGAUGGGUAGCCGGCCUGAGAGGGUGAUCGGACACAAGGGGAGAGAGACGCGGCAGGGACAGAUGGGGGGGACAAGAGUGGAAUAUUGCAGAAUGGGGGGAAAGAGGAUGCAGCAACGAUUCGGUGGGAAAGAUGAAAUUUGUGGGAAAAAAAGGUGCCUUCAGUGAGGAAGAGAGACUGGCGGUAACGAAAAAAAGAAGAGCGGCUAACUACGUG
Molecule: ribosomal RNA, 453 nt
Filed under: uncultured bacterium
Lineage: Bacteria
Description: partial 16S ribosomal RNA
Rfam family: Bacterial small subunit ribosomal RNA
Source: RNAcentral